GACGAACGCUGGCGGCGUGCUUAACACAUGCAAGUCGAACGGUAAGGCCCUUCGGGGUACACGAGUAACGAACGGGUGAGUAACACGUGGGUGAUAUGCCCUGCACUUCGGGAUAAGCCUAGGAAACUGGGUCUAAUACCGGAUAGGACCACUGCCUGCAUGGGUGGUGGUGGAGAGCUUUUGCGGUGUGGGAUGGGCCCGCGGCCUAUCAGCUUGUUGGUGGGGUGAUGGCCUACCAAGGCGAGGACGGGUAGCCGGCCUGAGAGGGUGACCGGCCACACUGGGACUGAGAUACGGCCCAGACUCCUACGGGAGGCAGCAGUGGGGAAUAUUGCACAAUGGGCGCAAGCCUGAUGCAGCGACGCCGCGUGAGGGAUGGCGGCCUUCGGGUUGUAAACCUCUUUCAGCACCGACGAAGCGCAAGUGACGGUAGGUGCAGAAGAAGGACCGGCCAACUACGUGCCAGCCGCCGCCGUAA
This 478-nucleotide ribosomal RNA is filed under the name uncultured bacterium. Its description in RNAcentral is "partial 16S ribosomal RNA". It matches the Rfam family "Bacterial small subunit ribosomal RNA", at positions 28 to 523 of the family's 1533-position model. The record is from RNAcentral.